GCCGGCGACCGGCUGCACGGGUGAGUAACACGUAUGGAACCUGCCCGCCACAGGGGGAUAACCCGGGGAAACCCGGCCUAAUACCCCAUGCCGUCCGGACCGGGCAUCCGGUCCGGGCGAAAGGAGGAAUCCGGUGGCGGCUGGGCAUGCGGCGCAUUAGCUUGACGGCGGGGUAACGGCCCACCGUGGCGACGAUGCGUAGGGGUUCUGAGAGGAAGGCCCCCCACACUGGAACUGAGACACGGUCCAGACUCCUACGGGAGGCAGCAGUGAGGAAUAUUGGUCAAUGGGCGGAAGCCUGAACCAGCCAAGUCGCGUGAGGGAAUAAGGCCCUACGGGUCGUAAACCUCUUUUGCCGGGGAGCAAGGGCCGGGACGCGUCCCGGCCCGGAGAGUACCCGGAGAAAAAGCAUCGGCUAACUCCGUGCCAGCAGCCGCGGUAAUACGGAGGAUGCGAGCGUUAUCCGGAUUUAUUGGGUUUAAAGGGUGCGUAGGCGGGCUUUUAAGUCAGCGGUAAAAAUUCGGGGCUCAACCCCGUCCGGCCGUUGAAACUGGGGGCCUUGAGUGGGCGAGAAGAAGGCGGAAUGCGUGGUGUAGCGGUGAAAUGCAUAGAUAUCACGCAGAACCCCGAUUGCGAAGGCAGCCUUCCGGCGCCCUACUGACGCUGAGGCACGAAAGUGCGGGGAUCGAACAGGAUUAGAUACCCUGGUAGUCCGCACAGUAAACGAUGGAUG
Molecule: ribosomal RNA, 733 nt
Filed under: uncultured bacterium
Lineage: Bacteria
Description: bacterial SSU rRNA
Rfam family: Bacterial small subunit ribosomal RNA
Source: RNAcentral